RNAcentral lists this ribosomal RNA (1343 nucleotides) under uncultured bacterium. RNAcentral's name for it is "16S ribosomal RNA". It matches the Rfam family "Bacterial small subunit ribosomal RNA", at positions 28 to 1378 of the family's 1533-position model. The record is from RNAcentral.
GACGAACGCUGGCGGCGUGCUUAACACAUGCAAGUCGAACGGAAAGGCCCUGCUUUUGUGGGGUGCUCGAGUGGCGAACGGGUGAGUAACACGUGAGUAACCUGCCCUUGACUUUGGGAUAACUUCAGGAAACUGGGGCUAAUACCGGAUAGGAGCUCCUGCUGCAUGGUGGGGGUUGGAAAGUUUCGGCGGUUGGGGAUGGACUCGCGGCUUAUCAGCUUGUUGGUGGGGUAGUGGCUUACCAAGGCUUUGACGGGUAGCCGGCCUGAGAGGGUGACCGGCCACAUUGGGACUGAGAUACGGCCCAGACUCCUACGGGAGGCAGCAGUGGGGAAUAUUGCACAAUGGGCGGAAGCCUGAUGCAGCAACGCCGCGUGCGGGAUGACGGCCUUCGGGUUGUAAACCGCUUUCGCCUGUGACGAAGCGUGAGUGACGGUAAUGGGUAAAGAAGCACCGGCUAACUACGUGCCAGCAGCCGCGGUGAUACGUAGGGUGCGAGCGUUGUCCGGAUUUAUUGGGCGUAAAGGGCUCGUAGGUGGUUGAUCGCGUCGGAAGUGUAAUCUUGGGGCUUAACCCUGAGCGUGCUUUCGAUACGGGUUGACUUGAGGAAGGUAGGGGAGAAUGGAAUUCCUGGUGGAGCGGUGGAAUGCGCAGAUAUCAGGAGGAACACCAGUGGCGAAGGCGGUUCUCUGGGCCUUUCCUGACGCUGAGGAGCGAAAGCGUGGGGAGCGAACAGGCUUAGAUACCCUGGUAGUCCACGCUGUAAACGGUGGGUACUAGGUGUGGGGUCCAUUCCACGGGUUCCGUGCCGUAGCUAACGCUUUAAGUACCCCGCCUGGGGAGUACGGCCGCAAGGCUAAAACCCAAAGGAAUUGACGGGGCCCCGCACAAGCGGCGGAGCAUGCGGAUUAAUUCGAUGCAACGCGUAGAACCUUACCUGGGUUUGACAUGGAUCGGGAGUGCUCAGAGAUGGGUGUGCCUCUUUUGGGGUCGGUUCACAGGUGGUGCAUGGCUGUCGUCAGCUCGUGUCGUGAGAUGUUGGGUUAAGUCCCGCAACGAGCGCAACCCUUGUUCACUGUUGCCAGCACGUUAUGGUGGGGACUCAGUGGAGACCGCCGGGGUCAACUCGGAGGAAGGUGGGGAUGACGUCAAGUCAUCAUGCCCCUUAUGUCCAGGGCUUCACGCAUGCUACAAUGGCUGGUACAGAGAGUGGCGAGCCUGUGAGGGUGAGCAAAUCUCGGAAAGCCGGUCUCAGUUCGGAUUGGGGUCUGCAACUCGACCUCAUGAAGUCGGAGUCGCUAGUAAUCGCAGAUCAGCAACGCUGCGGUGAAUACGUUCCCGGG